GAGAUCUAUCUUCUAUAGAAUUUUAAAUUUUUAUAAUUAUUUUUAUUAGUCAUAUUUAUUUUUGGAGAUCUAAAUCUAUUUGAACUAGGAGAGAAAUCUAAUCUGAAUUAUGCAAGAGAGGAUCUCACUACUAUUAUAAAUAAGAAAUAUGUACCUUAGUUUUUGAGGUGUGGAUCAUCAAUAAAAGAAAAGGAGACGUAAAUUCUACUUUUGAAUUUUUUUAUCUUUUUCUAAUUUUUUGUUGAGAGAUUUGAGUUGUGCAGAUUGAAGAAAUUCUUUCUUCUUUACAAUCGGAUCAAGUUAGUAUCAUAGCCAAGUUUCUCUACAUCUACAGAGGCAAGUUGG
RNAcentral lists this long non-coding RNA (345 nucleotides) under Phoenix dactylifera (date palm). RNAcentral's name for it is "long non-coding RNA (PDAC_LNC010419)". The record is from RNAcentral. Lineage: Eukaryota; Viridiplantae; Streptophyta; Magnoliopsida; Arecales; Arecaceae.